CCUACGGGGGGCAGCAGUGGGGGAUAUUGCACAAUGGGGGAAACCCUGAUGCAGCGACGCCGCGUGGGCGAAGAAGUAUUUCGGUAUGUAAAGCCCUAUCAGCAGGGAAGAAGAAAUGACGGUACCUGAGUAAGAAGCACCGGCUAAAUACGUGCCAGCAGCCGCGUUAAUACGUAUGGUGCAAGCGUUAUCCGGAUUUACUGGGGGUAAAGGGAGCGCAGGCGGCACGGCAAGCCUGGGGUGAAAGCCCGCGGCCCAACCGCGGGACUGCAGUGGGAACUAGCGGGCUGGAGUGCCGGAGAGGUAGGCGGAAUGCCUAGUGUAGCGGUGAAAUGCGUAGAUAUUAGGAGGAACCCCAGUUGCGAAGGCGGCCUACCGGAUGGUGACUGACGCUGAGGCUCGAAAGCGUGGGGAGCAAACAGGAUUAGAUACCCCGGUAGUC
This 442-nucleotide ribosomal RNA is filed under the name uncultured bacterium. RNAcentral describes it as "partial 16S ribosomal RNA". It matches the Rfam family "Bacterial small subunit ribosomal RNA", at positions 338 to 795 of the family's 1533-position model. The record is from RNAcentral.